GCCCUGUUAGCUCAGUUGGCUAGAGCGUGCGUUUCCCAGUUCUUCUUUAUUAAUGAGCUUUAAUUAACAUAUAAAAUAGGUGUGGCUUUUAACCUCAAGGUCGGCGGUUCGAGCCCGCCACAGGGCG
Molecule: non-coding RNA, 127 nt
Organism: Arachnomyces sp. PD_36
Lineage: Eukaryota; Fungi; Ascomycota; Eurotiomycetes; Onygenales; Arachnomycetaceae
Source: the annotation of a GenBank genome assembly